This 322-nucleotide long non-coding RNA is filed under the name Theobroma cacao (cacao). RNAcentral describes it as "long non-coding RNA (TCAC_LNC002146)". The record is from RNAcentral. Lineage: Eukaryota; Viridiplantae; Streptophyta; Magnoliopsida; Malvales; Malvaceae.
UCUGACAGUGUUACUAAUUAACCUCCAUGUAAGUAAUGAGCAGGGAUAUGGCCAGAAUCAGAAGUUUUCAGUGAUGAAGGUCUGGGGCCAAUCCCCUCUCGCUGGAAGGGAGUUUGUGAAUCAGGAGAGCUCUUCGAUGGUGCAAAAGCCUGCAACAGAAAAUUGAUAGGGGCUCGUUAUUUCAUCCGUGGACUCCAAGCCGAAUAUGGACAGCCAUACAACACUAGUGCAAACAACGAUUACCUGUCCCCAAGAGAUCCAAGCGGACAUGGAACACACACAUCUUCAAUUGCAGGUGGCUCCUUUGUGGCCAAUGUUAGCU